AUUGAACGCUGGCGGCAGGCCUAACACAUGCAAGUCGAGCGGCAGCGGAAAGUAGCUUGCUACUUUGCCGGCGAGCGGCGGACGGGUGAGUAAUGUCUGGGAAACUGCCUGAUGGAGGGGGAUAACUACUGGAAACGGUAGCUAAUACCGCAUGACCUCGAAAGAGCAAAGUGGGGGAUCUUCGGACCUCACGCCAUCGGAUGUGCCCAGAUGGGAUUAGCUAGUAGGUGAGGUAAUGGCUCACCUAGGCGACGAUCCCUAGCUGGUCUGAGAGGAUGACCAGCCACACUGGAACUGAGACACGGUCCAGACUCCUACGGGAGGCAGCAGUGGGGAAUAUUGCACAGUGGGCGCAAGCCUGAUGCAGCCAUGCCGCGUGUGUGAAGAAGGCCUUAGGGUUGUAAAGCACUUUCAGCGAGGAGGAAGGCACCAUACUUAAUACGUGUGGUGAUUGACGUUACUCGCAGAAGAAGCACCGGCUAACUCCGUGCCAGCAGCCGCGGUAAUACGGAGGGUGCAAGCGUUAAUCGGAAUUACUGGGCGUAAAGCGCACGCAGGCGGUUUGUUAAGUCAGAUGUGAAAUCCCCGCGCUUAACGUGGGAACUGCAUUUGAAACUGGCAAGCUAGAGUCUUGUAGAGGGGGGUAGAAUUCCAGGUGUAGCGGUGAAAUGCGUAGAGAUCUGGAGGAAUACCGGUGGCGAAGGCGGCCCCCUGGACAAAGACUGACGCUCAGGUGCGAAAGCGUGGGGAGCAAACAGG
This 759-nucleotide ribosomal RNA is filed under the name uncultured Enterobacteriaceae bacterium. RNAcentral's name for it is "bacterial SSU rRNA". It matches the Rfam family "Bacterial small subunit ribosomal RNA", at positions 28 to 776 of the family's 1533-position model. The record is from RNAcentral. Lineage: Bacteria; Pseudomonadati; Pseudomonadota; Gammaproteobacteria; Enterobacterales; Enterobacteriaceae.